UUGUCCCUACGGGGCGCAGCAGUGGGGAAUAUUGCACAAUGGGGGAAACCCUGAUGCAGCGACGCCGCGUGAGCGAAGAAGUAUUUCGGUAUGUAGAGCUCUAUCAGCAGGGAAGAAAAAUGACGGUACCUGAGUAAGAAGCACCGGCUAAAUACGUGCCAGCAGCCGCGGUAAUACGUAGGGGGCAAGCGUUAUCCGGAUUUACUGGGUGUAAAGGGAGCGUAGACGGCAGCGCAAGUCUGGAGUGAAAUGCCGGGGCCCAACCCCGGAACUGCUCUGGAAACUGUGAAGCUGGAGUGCAGGAG
RNAcentral lists this ribosomal RNA (305 nucleotides) under uncultured bacterium. RNAcentral's name for it is "bacterial SSU rRNA". It matches the Rfam family "Bacterial small subunit ribosomal RNA", at positions 333 to 654 of the family's 1533-position model. The record is from RNAcentral.